AUCUUGAUCUCUUAAAUGCACUUAACCUAGUGAAACAAUAAAAUUACAUUAUUCCUAUAUUAGGAUCCUCUAUAAUCCAAUUCUUGCAAUAAACAGAAUCACUCGUUUAACAUACUUGACUUCUAUUAAGAGCCCUUUUUGAUUGAUAAAGAAAUAAGACAUUUACACUAAGAAUGACAGAGAAUAGCUUGGAUAAAGGAGGAGGGAUCCAAUGGAUUGACAACCAACAUAAAGUUAAUUGAUUUAUGAUGAACCCACACAAAAUGGUAUUACAUUAACAAUUGACACAUAACGAGAUUGAACUAGGAAUGCAAACAAGUACAAGCCAUAACAAUAUGAGAUACAUACAGGU
This 352-nucleotide long non-coding RNA is filed under the name Solanum tuberosum (potato). Its description in RNAcentral is "long non-coding RNA (STUB_LNC007145)". The record is from RNAcentral. Lineage: Eukaryota; Viridiplantae; Streptophyta; Magnoliopsida; Solanales; Solanaceae.